AGCUAAUAGAUACCCGGGUAGUCCACGCCCUAAACGAUGUCAACUAGUUGUUGGGGAUUCAUUUCCUUAGUAAACGUAGCUAAACGCGUGAAAGUUGACCGCCUGGGGAGUACGGUCGCAAGAUUAAAACUCAAAGGAAUUGACGGGGACCCGCACAAGCGGUGGAUGAUGUGGAUUAAUUCGAUGCAACGCGAAAAACCUUACCUACCCUUGACAUGGUCGGAAUCCUGCUGAGAGGCGGGAGUGCUCGAAAGAGAACCGGCGCACAGGUGCUGCAUGGCUGUCGUCAGCUCGUGUCGUGAGAUGUUGGGUUAAGUCCCGCAACGAGCGCAACCCUUGUCCUUAGUUGCUACGCAAGAGCACUCUAAGGAGACUGCCGGUGACAAACCGGAGGAAGGUGGGGAUGACGUCAAGUCCUCAUGGCCCUUAUGGGUAGGGCUUCACACGUCAUACAAUGGUCGGAACAGAGGGUUGCCAAGCCGCGAGGUGGAGCCAAUCCCAGAAAACCC
Molecule: ribosomal RNA, 509 nt
Filed under: uncultured bacterium
Lineage: Bacteria
Description: bacterial SSU rRNA
Rfam family: Bacterial small subunit ribosomal RNA
Source: RNAcentral